AGAGUUUGAUCCUGGCUCAGAUUGAACGCUGGCGGCAGGCCUAACACAUGGCAAGUCGAGCGGUAGAGAGAAGCUUGCUUCUCUUGAGAGCGGCGGACGGGUGAGUAAUGCCUAGGAAUCUGCCUGGUAGUGGGGGAUAACGUCCGGAAACGGACGCUAAUACCGCAUACGUCCUACGGGAGAAAGCAGGGGACCUUCGGGCCUUGCGCUAUCAGAUGAGCCUAGGUCGGAUUAGCUAGUUGGUGAGGUAAUGGCUCACCAAGGCGACGAUCCGUAACUGGUCUGAGAGGAUGAUCAGUCACACUGGAACUGAGACACGGUCCAGACUCCUACGGGAGGCAGCAGUGGGGAAUAUUGGACAAUGGGCGAAAGCCUGAUCCAGCCAUGCCGCGUGUGUGAAGAAGGUCUUCGGAUUGUAAAGCACUUUAAGUUGGGAGGAAGGGCAGUUGCCUAAUACGUAACUGUUUUGACGUUACCGACAGAAUAAGCACCGGCUAACUCUGUGCCAGCAGCCGCGGUAAUAC
This 524-nucleotide ribosomal RNA is filed under the name Pseudomonas sp. NZLN2. RNAcentral describes it as "bacterial SSU rRNA". It matches the Rfam family "Bacterial small subunit ribosomal RNA", at positions 8 to 526 of the family's 1533-position model. The record is from RNAcentral. Lineage: Bacteria; Pseudomonadati; Pseudomonadota; Gammaproteobacteria; Pseudomonadales; Pseudomonadaceae.